ACACUUACCUGCAGGAAGAUAUCAUGAUCACGAAGGUGGUUUCCCCGCAGGGUGAUCCCAUUGCACUCUGGAUGUGCUGUCCCCUGUGAUUUCCCAAAUGUGGGACCUCAACUGCAUAAUUGUGGUGGUUGGGGGACUGCAGUUCCCAC
RNAcentral lists this small nuclear RNA (149 nucleotides) under Castor canadensis (American beaver). Its description in RNAcentral is "U1 spliceosomal RNA (ENSCCNG00000002199.1)". It matches the Rfam family "U1 spliceosomal RNA". Rfam says of the family: U1 is a small nuclear RNA (snRNA) component of the spliceosome (involved in pre-mRNA splicing). Its 5' end forms complementary base pairs with the 5' splice junction, thus defining the 5' donor site of an intron. Lineage: Eukaryota; Metazoa; Chordata; Mammalia; Rodentia; Castoridae. The record is from Rfam by way of RNAcentral.